Molecule: unclassified non-coding RNA, 144 nt
Filed under: soil metagenome
Description: partial internal transcribed spacer 1
Source: RNAcentral
UAAUAAUGUUUUAUGGCACUUUUUAAAUCCAUAUCCACCUUGUGUGCAAUGUCAGUCGAUCUUCUUCAUGGAGAUCGACCAAACAUCAACCUUUAUCUUUUAACUCUUUGUCUGAAAAAUAUUAUGAAUAAACAAUUCAAAAUA